AUCUUGGGCAAUGCACGAAAGUGUGACCCAGCGACGCCGCGUGGAGGAUGAAGGCCCUUGGGUCGUAAACUCCUUUUGUGUGAGAAGAACGUAGGGGCAACCCUGCUUGACGGUAUCACACGAAUAAGCCACGGCUAACUACGUGCCAGCAGCCGCGGUAAUACGUAGGUGGCAAGCGUUGUCCGGAUUUACUGGGCGUAAAGCGUAUGCAGGCGGAUGGUUAAGUAGGAAGUGAAAGGUUGGAGCUCAACUCUAACACUGCUCCCUAUACUGGCCGUCUUGAGUGCCGGAGAGGACCAGGGAACUUCACGUGUAGCGGUGAAAUGCGUUGAGAUGUGAAGGAACACCAAUGGCGAAAGCACUGGUCUGGACGGAGACUGACGCUGAGAUACGAAAGCCAAGGGAGCGAAC
This 411-nucleotide ribosomal RNA is filed under the name uncultured bacterium. RNAcentral describes it as "bacterial SSU rRNA". It matches the Rfam family "Bacterial small subunit ribosomal RNA", at positions 361 to 773 of the family's 1533-position model. The record is from RNAcentral.